CCUACGUGAGGCAGCAGUGGGGAAUAUUUCACAAUGGGGGGAACCCUGAUGCAGCAACGCCGCGUGGGUGAAGAAGUACUCCGGUAUGUAAAGCCCUGUCAGCCGGGCAGACAAUGACGGUACCUGACCAAGAUGCCCCGACUAACUACGUGCCAGCAGCCGCGGUAAUACGUAGUGUGCAGGCGUUAUCCGGAUUGACUGGGUGUUAAGGGAGCGUAGACGGCAAGGCAAGUCUGGAGUGAAAGCUCGUGGCGCAACCCCGGGACUGCUUUGGAAACUGUGUUGCUGGAGUGCAGGAGGGGUAAGCGGAAUGCAUAGUGUAGCGGUGAAAUGCGUAGAUAUUAGGAGGAACACCGGUGGCGAAGGCGGCUUACUGGACUGUAACGGACGUUGAGGCUCGAAGGCGUGGGGAGCAAACAGGAUUAGAUACCCUUGUAGUC
Molecule: ribosomal RNA, 440 nt
Filed under: uncultured bacterium
Lineage: Bacteria
Description: partial 16S ribosomal RNA
Rfam family: Bacterial small subunit ribosomal RNA
Source: RNAcentral